This 1063-nucleotide long non-coding RNA is filed under the name Anas platyrhynchos platyrhynchos (common mallard). Its description in RNAcentral is "lncRNA (ENSAPLG00000023670.1)". The record is from RNAcentral. Lineage: Eukaryota; Metazoa; Chordata; Aves; Anseriformes; Anatidae.
AUGAAGAUGUUUAGUGAUCAUUCUGAUCUCCAGAAAAUAGAGGAAAAUACACAGCAUUUCAACAGAAAUGCAUGUUGCAGUGACUGCAGAUUCAAAGACAUAGGUAUACCUUUGGCUUGCCUCUUACCUUCCGUUUUUAUUCAACUGAAUUGUGGAGCAGUUCCUUGGGGAUUUUUAAUAGGGUAAGGAUGUCCCGAUUAUUAUAUUUACACUGUGUUUUCAGAAAUAACGGUUCCUGCUUACACCUGCAGACUUCUCUGCUCUGGUUUUUGUUACAGACCGUAUAUCAUCACCUUUUGAUGCCGAAGCUACUCACUUGGACUGCAUAAUAAUGAAAGUAGCUCUGUACUUAGGCUGAGAAAUUUUAGACAGCACGUUUUUAUUUGGCUGGGGUGAAGGUUUUGGGGAAUUUGCAGGAUGCAAAUGAUCAUAUUUCAUAUGAAUACGUCUGAAAGUACCUCAGUCCUCUCAGCCACACUAAAAGCAUUUAACACAUAGUACCUGCGUGAGUAUAGAUGCUCUUACUGGGGAAGAAAACCAAUAGACUACCUCUGGAAGCCUCCAAACAAAAGGCUUUAGAUUGUGACUUAAAAUUAGUUUCUUUCAGAUGUCCCUCGAGUCACUAUUUAGUUGAAUUUAGACCUCUCAUUGAAGUUCUUUAAGCAACAGGAAAGAACAGGGCUAAUGUCAGGGUUGCAGCUAUGAAUGGAAUCAAUUCAUUGAAACGAACGUUGCAUAGAAGCGUGGCAUUUAUUGACAAACCUAAAUUGUCUAUAGGAACGUCCUUCAACAGCCAUGCUUUUCUCUUUCAAGGCACUUCAUAAGUAAACGUGUACAACGUAGAGGCUAUAUACCUUAAGCAGCCAUAACUUCAGUAAAUGCACUGUAUACUUUGUUCAUCUGUGAAUAGUAAUUGAGUCUUGGACUGCUUUUAUAGUGCGCAGAGAGUAAUACAACUGCCAUGAUGUAUAAUAAUGCUUAAGAGCUCCAGGGAGGCUCAUUUACAUGAUAGUGAGGGAAAUGGUCUUGCAAGGAAUAAAAAUUAAGAGGUUGGUAUUGUGCA